AGAGUUUGAUCCUGGCUCAGGAUUAAUGCUGACGGCGUGCCUAAUCUAUGCAAGUUUUUGUCUUGUAGCAAUACAAGACAAGGCAGACGAGUGAGUAACGCGUAGGAACCAACCUUUAAGUUGGGAAUAACCUUGGGAAACCGGGGAUAAUACCCAAUAGUCUCGCAAGAGUAAAGCUUCGGCGCUUAAAGACGGGCCUGCGUCCUAUCAGCUAGUUGGUAAGGUAAUGGCUUACCAAGGCUAUGACGGGUAGGGGGCGUUAGAGCGUGUACCCCCACGAUGGCACUGAGAUACGGGCCAUACACCUACGGGUGGCAGCAAGUAGGAAUCUUGCGCAAUGGUCGCCUUUUGGCGACUGACGCAGCGACGCCGUGUGAAGGAAGAAGAUUUUCGGAUCGUAAACUUACAUUAAAAAGGAGCGGCUAACUUCGUGCCAGCAGCAGCGGUAAUACGGGGGCUCCAAGCAUUAUCCGGUCUUAUUGGGCGUAAAGAGUUCUGUAGGUGGUGAAAUAAGUUAUGGGUGAAAUCCUUCGGCUUAACCGAAGUUGUGCUCGUAAUACUGUUUCACUAGAGAAAGGUAGGGGAGGGUAGAACGCAUGGUGUAGUGGUUAAAUACGUUGAUAUCAUGCGGAAUACCAAAGGCGUAGGCAACCCUCUGGGCCUUUUCUGACACUAAGAGACGAAAGCGUGGGGAGCAAAACGGAUUAGAUACCCGUGUAGUCCACGCUGUAAACGAUGUUCACUAGAUCCGUAGUUCGUCAUUGACGGACCGCGAGUCGUAGCUAACGCAUUAAGUGAACCGCCUGGGAAUUACGGCCGCAAGGCUAAAACUCAAAGGAAUUGACGGGGACCCGCACAAGCGGUGGAGCGCCUGCUUUAAUACGAUGAUAAACGCAGAACCUUACCGAGGUUUGACAUGCUACUGCAUCCCUGCAGAAACGUAGGGAGUCCUUCGAGGGUGUAGCACAGGUAUUGCAUGGCUGUUGUCAGCUCGUGUCGUGAGAUGUACCGUUAAGUCGGGUAACGAGCGCAACCCUUUUCGUUAGUUGUAUCACUCUAGCGAUACUGCCCGGGCAACCGGGAGGAAGGAGAGGAUGACAACAAGUCAGCAUGGUCUUUAUGCCUCGGGCUAGACGGACGCUACAAUGGGUGGAACAAUGGGAAGCAACACGGUGACGUGAAGCAAAUCUCUUAAAUUCACCCCCAGUUCAGAUUGAGGGCUGAAAUUCGCCCUCAUGAAGUUGGAAUCGCUAGUAAUCGCUGGUCAGCUAUACAGCGGUGAAUACGUUCUCGGGUCUUGUACACACCGCCCGUCAGGUCAGCAGAGUUGGAAAUACCCGACACCCGCAUUUUUUUGCGGUCUAAGGUAGGUCUAAUGAUGAGGAUUAAGUCGAAACAAGGUA
RNAcentral lists this ribosomal RNA (1403 nucleotides) under metagenome. RNAcentral's name for it is "bacterial SSU rRNA". It matches the Rfam family "Bacterial small subunit ribosomal RNA". The record is from RNAcentral.